This 253-nucleotide ribosomal RNA is filed under the name uncultured bacterium. RNAcentral describes it as "partial 16S ribosomal RNA". It matches the Rfam family "Bacterial small subunit ribosomal RNA", at positions 524 to 776 of the family's 1533-position model. The record is from RNAcentral.
UACAGAGGGUGCAAGCGUUAAUCGGAAUUACUGGGCGUAAAGCGUGCGUAGACGGUAGCGUAAGUCGGGUGUGAAAGCCCCGGGCUCAACCUGGGAAUUGCAUUCGAGACUGCUCUGCUAGGGUGCGGAAGAGGGAAGCGGAAUUUCCGGUGUAGCGGUGAAAUGCGUAGAUAUCGGAAGGAACACCAGUGGCGAAAGCGGCUCUCUGGUACGUGACUGACGCUGAGACGCGAAAGCGUGGGGAGCAAACAGG